RNAcentral lists this ribosomal RNA (253 nucleotides) under uncultured bacterium. Its description in RNAcentral is "partial 16S ribosomal RNA". It matches the Rfam family "Bacterial small subunit ribosomal RNA", at positions 524 to 776 of the family's 1533-position model. The record is from RNAcentral.
UACGUAGGGCGCAAGCGUUAUCCGGAAUUAUUGGGCGUAAAGAGCUCGUAGGCGGUCUGUCGCGUCUGCUGUGAAAACUCAGGGCUUAACCCUGAGCUUGCAGUGGGUACGGGCAGACUAGAGUGCGGUAGGGGAGACUGGAAUUCCUGGUGUAGCGGUGAAAUGCGCAGAUAUCUGGAGGAACACCGGUGGCGAAGGCGGCAUCCUGGACCGGCAUUGACGCUGAGGCGCGAAAGCCAGGGGAGCAAACGGG